CAUGCAAGUCGAUCGGAAAGGCCCUUCGGGGUACACGAGUGGCGAACGGGUGAGUAACACGUGGGUGAUCUGCCCUGCACUUUGGGAUAAGCCUGGGAAACUGGGUCUAAUACCGAAUACACCCUGCUGGUCGCAUGGCCUGGUGGGGGAAAGCUUUUGCGGUGUGGGAUGGGCCCGCGGCCUAUCAGCUUGUUGGUGGGGUGAUGGCCUACCAAGGCGACGACGGGUAGCCGGCCUGAGAGGGUGUCCGGCCACACUGGGACUGAGAUACGGCCCAGACUCCUACGGGAGGCAGCAGUGGGGAAUAUUGCACAAUGGGCGCAAGCCUGAUGCAGCGACGCCGCGUGAGGGAUGACGGCCUUCGGGUUGUAAACCUCUUUCAAUAGGGACGAAGCGCAAGUGACGGUACCUAUAGAAGAAGCACCGGCCAACUACGUGCCAGCAGCCGCGGUAAUACGUAGGGUGCGAGCGUUGUCCGGAAUUACUGGGCGUAAAGAGCUCGUAGGUGGUUUGUCGCGUUGUUCGUGAAAACUCACA
RNAcentral lists this ribosomal RNA (537 nucleotides) under uncultured Mycobacterium sp. RNAcentral's name for it is "bacterial SSU rRNA". It matches the Rfam family "Bacterial small subunit ribosomal RNA", at positions 54 to 606 of the family's 1533-position model. The record is from RNAcentral. Lineage: Bacteria; Bacillati; Actinomycetota; Actinomycetes; Mycobacteriales; Mycobacteriaceae.